RNAcentral lists this non-coding RNA (23 nucleotides) under Arabidopsis thaliana (thale cress). The record is from RNAcentral. Lineage: Eukaryota; Viridiplantae; Streptophyta; Magnoliopsida; Brassicales; Brassicaceae.
ACAAACAGCCGUUUCUCCUCUCC